Molecule: RNA transcript, 1532 nt
Organism: Mandrillus leucophaeus (drill)
Lineage: Eukaryota; Metazoa; Chordata; Mammalia; Primates; Cercopithecidae
Gene name: protein phosphatase 1 regulatory subunit 11 pseudogene
Exons: 1
Source: RefSeq, a predicted model, not a curated record
GGAGUUGGUCAGGUUAUCCCCAGGGGGUGGAGAAGAGGAGGCCCAGGAGGAGGGGGUAAAAAGAAGGUGGAGGAUCCUGACUACCACUGAAUCCAAUACUGCUUCUCCUAGACCUGAGGCAUAAAAAGAGAAGGGUGUCUCAUCCCCCUUCCUCCUCUCCUCCCUCUCCUGAGCCUUAGCCAUGGCCGAGGCAGGGGCUGGGCUGAGCGAGACCGUCACUGAGACAACGGUUACCGUGACAACCGAGCCCGAGAACCGCAGCUUUACCAUCAAACUUCGGAAACGGAAACCAGAGAAAAAGGUGGAAUGGACAAGUGACACUGUGGACAAUGAGCGCAUGCGCCACCGCUCAUCAAAAUGCUGCUGUAUUUAUGAAAAACCCCGGGCUUUUGGCGACAGCUCCACGGAAAGUGAUGAGGAGGAAGAAGAGGGCUGUGAUCAUACACACUCUGUACGUGGCCACCGCAAAGGAUGGCGUCGUGCAACCCUGGGACCGACCCCCACCACGCCUUCCCGGCCUCCUGACCCUUCCCAGCCCCCAGCAGGGCCAAUGCAGCGCUAAAUUCCUCUUUCCCCCACCCUUCCUGAAUGUAUCCAUGUGGCUUCUUCUCCAGUACCCUCCUUCUCUCUCUUCUGCCUGACAGAGGGAAGAGGAAGAGGAGGGUAGACAGAGAUCCUGGAAUUCUGACUUGCUGCUAUUUCAGAACCCAGACUCCUGAAUUCCCCCAGUUCUCAUUUUUCCUCCCAAUACCCACCCUUCUCUCUCCAGGGAUCUAGGCACCUUGGUCCCAGCCUCUUCCUUUUGUUCUCGCUGUCAAACUGCCUGUCCUGGGAUCUGGUUAUCUUGGCCGUGCACUCUCAACUUGAGUAGCAAACAUCGAAAUUGGGUUUUCAACAGUCCCCGCUUUCACUGCCAGGGUCCCAGUCAGAUUCCAGAAAUUCUCACCCUGACUGUGCUUGCUAAUACUGGUUUAGAGCUAUCCCACUAAAAUAUUUCAUCCUAAUUCUUAGUCCUUGCCUGUGGGAUAUGAGGUCCUACAGGAGACCUCAGGGCUCCCAGCCCUUCUCCUGCUAACUCUCCUCAUGCCCUCAAGAGGAGUUAGAAGAGAGUUCCUUGUCAUUCUCACCUCUAAUGGAAGAUGGAACAAGAAUAAUCAUAUCCUUUCUUCCCACCCUUCUCCUGUGAUCUAGGAUUUCUGACAAAGCUGGCUUGAAACUGGUCACUUAGAGCCAACUAUCUCCUCAGCCUUUUGUUUUUCAGCUUCAGAGACAGAUUCAGUGUAGUCCCAAGGACCUGGGUCCCUGGGAGAGGAAGGAAAAGGGAAGGAGCAAAGAGAUGGGGGUAUAUCCCCUACACUACACUCUUACCUCUUAAUUCCUAGGCUUUGAUUUCUCUGCCAGCCCAGAUGUUCAGUUCUCUUGGCCCUCCCUACCCCUUUGCUGGGAUCUGGUUGUCAUUUUCUUUUGCCAGUUCUUUUGCCAUACACAGUUGUAGAGACCAGUCAAAUCCACACCACCACUGAGAUCUCAUU